This 433-nucleotide ribosomal RNA is filed under the name uncultured bacterium. Its description in RNAcentral is "partial 16S ribosomal RNA". It matches the Rfam family "Bacterial small subunit ribosomal RNA", at positions 29 to 507 of the family's 1533-position model. The record is from RNAcentral.
AACGAACGCUGGCGGCAUGCCUAACACAUGCAAGUCGAACGAGACCUUCGGGUCUAGUGGCGCACGGGUGCGUAACGCGUGGGAACCUGCCCUUAGGUUCGGAAUAACUCCCCGAAAGGGGUGCUAAUACCGGAUAAUGUCUUCGGACCAAAGAUUUAUCGCCUUUGGAUGGGCCCGCGUUGGAUUAGCUAGUUGGUAGGGUAAAAGCCUACCAAGGCGACGAUCCAUAGCUGGUCUGAGAGGAUGAUCAGCCACACUGGGACUGAGACACGGCCCAGACUUCUGAGGGAAGCAGCAGGGGGGAAUAAUGGAAAAUGGGCGAAAGCCUGAUCCAGCAAUGCCGCGUGAGUGAUGAAGGCCUUAGGGUUGUAAAGCUCUUUUACCCGGGAUGAUAAUGACAGUACCGGGAGAAUAAGCUCCGGCUAACUCCGUG